UAGGGAAUCUUCCACAAUGGACGCAAGUCUGAUGGAGCAACGCCGCGUGAGUGAAGAAGGGUUUCGGCUCGUAAAGCUCUGUUGUUAAAGAAGAACGUGGGUAGAGUAACUGUUUACCCAGUGACGGUAUUUAACCAGAAAGCCACGGCUAACUACGUGCCAG
This 163-nucleotide ribosomal RNA is filed under the name uncultured bacterium. RNAcentral's name for it is "partial 16S rRNA". It matches the Rfam family "Bacterial small subunit ribosomal RNA", at positions 355 to 511 of the family's 1533-position model. The record is from RNAcentral.